UACGGAAGGCAGCAGUGGGGAAUAUUGCACAAUGGGCGAAAGCCUGAUGCAGCUAUGCCGCGUGUAUGAAGAAGGCCUUAGGGUUGUAAAGUACUUUCAUCGGGGAGGAAAAAACAAAACUAAUAAUUUUAUUUCUUGACGUUACCCGAAAAAGAAGCACCGGCUAACUCCGUGCCAGCAGCCGCGGUAAUACGGAGGGUGCUAGCGUUAAUCAGAAUUACUGGGCGUAAAGAGCACGUAGGUGGUUUUUUUAAGUCAGAUGUGAAAUCCCUGGGCUUUAACCUAGGAACUGCAUUUUGAAACUGAAAUACUAGAGUAUCGUAGAGGGAGGUAGAAUUCUAGGUGUAGCGGUGAAAUGCGUAGAUAUCUGGAGGAAUACCUGUGGCGAAAGCGGCCUCCUAAACGAAUACUGACACUGAGGGUGCGAAAGCGUGGGGAGCAAACAGGGAUUAGAUACCCGU
RNAcentral lists this ribosomal RNA (461 nucleotides) under uncultured bacterium. Its description in RNAcentral is "bacterial SSU rRNA". It matches the Rfam family "Bacterial small subunit ribosomal RNA", at positions 340 to 789 of the family's 1533-position model. The record is from RNAcentral.